GGGGCGUGUAUUGUGGGGGGUGCUGCAGGGGUGCGUGUCUGCGGGUGCGUAGUGCAGGAUGCAUGUCUCAGGGCUGCAUGUUUCAGGGGGUGUAGUGAAGUGGUGUGAUGCAGGGUGUGUGUCUGGGGGUGCGUAGUGAAGGGGUGCGUGUUUUGGGGUGCGAUGCAGGAUGCGUGUUUCGGGGUGUGAUGCAGGGUGAGUGUCUGGGGGUGCGUAGUGCAGGGGUGCAAUGCAGAGUGUGUGUCUGGGGGUGCGAUGCAGGAUGCGUGUUUCGGGGUGCGAUGCAGGAUGCAUGUUUCGGGGUGUGAUGCAGGGUGUGUGUCUGGGGGUGCGUAGUGCAGGGGUGCGAUGCAGGGUGUGUGUCUGGCGGUGUGAAGCAGGAGGCGUGUUUUGGGGUGCGACGCAGGAUGCGUGUUUUGGGGUGUGAUGCAGGGUGAGUGUCUAGGGGUGCGUAGUGCAGGGGUGUGAUGUAGGGUGUGUGUCUGGGGUUGCGAAGCAGGAGGCGUGUUUUGGGGUGCGACGCAGGAUGCGUGUUUCGGGGUGUGAUGCAGGGUGAGUGUCUAGGGGUGCGUAGUGCAGGGGUGCGAUGCAGGGUGUGUGUCUGGGGGUGUGACGCAGGAUGCGUGUUUUGGGGUGUGAUGCAGGGUGUGUUGCCUGGGGUGCAAUGCAGAGUGUGUGUCUGGGGGUGCGAUGCAGGAUGCAUGUUUCGGGGUGCGAUGCAGGGUGUGUGUUUUGGGGUGCGAUGCAGGGUGAGUGUCUGGGGGUGCGUAGUGCCAGGGGUGCAAAGCAGAGUGUGUGUCUGGGGGUGCGACGCAGGAUGCGUGUUUCGGGGUGUGAUGGAGGGUGAGUGUCUGGGGGUGCACAUGCCAGGGGUGCGAAGCAGAGUGUGUGUCUGGGGGUGCGAUGCAGGAUGCGUGUUUCAGGGUGCGAUGCAGGGUGUGUGAUUUGGGGAGUGAUGCAGGAUGAGUGUUUCGGGGUACAAUGCAGAGUGUGUGUCUGGGGGUGCGAUGCAGGAUGCGUUGUUCGGGGUGCGAUGCAGGGUGUGUGUUUCGGGGUGCGAUGCAGGGUGAGUGUCUGGGGGUGCGUAGUGCCAGGGGUGCGAAGCA
Long non-coding RNA from Gopherus flavomarginatus (Mexican gopher tortoise), 1106 nucleotides. RefSeq lists it as uncharacterized. The record is from RefSeq and is a predicted model, not a curated record. The transcript is spliced from 4 exons. NCBI's taxonomy places the organism in Eukaryota, Metazoa, Chordata, Testudines, Testudinidae.